GAUGAAGAACGUAGUGAAAUGCGAUAAGUAGUGUGAACUGCAGAAUUCAGUGAAUCAUCGAAUCUUUGAACGCACAUUGCGCCUUCUAGUAUUCUGGGAGGCAUGCCUGUUUGAGCGUCAUUAAACCUCUCUCAAGUAUGAUUACUUGGAUGUGAAGGAAGAGUACCUUAAACUUAAGGAGUGUUCUCCUUUGAAAUUGAUUAGCAGAUGGUAAUGUUAUUAAAUCCCUGAUGUUGUAAGAAAUAACAGUGGUUUUGUAGACUAUUAUCUAGCUUUAAAUUAUAAUUUUUAUUAUGGUUGACCUCAAAUCAGGUAAGGAUACCCGCUGAACUUAAGCAUAUCAAUAAGCGGAGGA
RNAcentral lists this unclassified non-coding RNA (355 nucleotides) under soil metagenome. RNAcentral's name for it is "partial contains 5.8S ribosomal RNA, internal transcribed spacer 2, and large subunit ribosomal RNA". The stretch from base 1 to 120 matches the Rfam family "5.8S ribosomal RNA", at positions 35 to 154 of the family's 154-position model. The record is from RNAcentral.